CAGCAGCCGCGGGAAUACGUAGGUGGCAAGCGUUGUCCGGAAUUAUUGGGCGUAAAGGGCUCGCAGGCGGUUUCUUAAGUCUGAUGUGAAAGCCCCCGGCUCAACCGGGGAGGGUCAUUGGGAACUGGGAAACUUGAGUGCAGAAGAGGAGAGUGGAAUUCCACGUGUAGCGGUGAAAUGCGUAGAGAUGUGGAGGAACACCAGUGGCGAAGGCGACUCUCCGGUCUGUAACUGACGCUGAGGAGCGAAAGCGUGGGGAGCGGACAGGAUUAGAUACCCGGGUAGUCCCUGUCUCUUAUAA
This 301-nucleotide ribosomal RNA is filed under the name uncultured bacterium. Its description in RNAcentral is "partial 16S ribosomal RNA". It matches the Rfam family "Bacterial small subunit ribosomal RNA", at positions 509 to 809 of the family's 1533-position model. The record is from RNAcentral.